AUGAUGACACAAUGUGAAGAUGGUCAUAACGUCGUACUGUAUUCUGAUUGGCCUGUGAACUCUCACGCGGAUCAUGCAUUGAACACCGUCGGAUGUUCGUCGAUCCAACGGCGGUCCUCAGCCCUUCCACACCAUCCCCGAAACCCUAGCUCUGGCCUGUGCCUUCCUACCUCUAACUCGCGCAGGUGCAGGCGCAGGGCACAACGCCCAAUCCAAGGCGGCGCCGUCCUCGUGCAGCUCAGCCUGGCGGACCUCAGGGCCGUCUCCAUGCUCGGCCGUGGUGCCAAGGGCGUCGUCUUCCACGUCGUGCCCGAGGGCGAGGGCGGUGCCGGCGACGUUGCCAUGGCGCUCAAGUCGGUCUCGCGGGAGGCCGCGCGGCACAAGAAGAGCGGCGGGAGUGGCGGCGGGAACGGACACCGGAGGAUUUGGUUCGAGUGUGACGCGCUGAGAUGGGAGGAUGUGGAGGUGGGCGAGCCUGGGGACGGCGAGAUCCAGAUCUGGAACACCGCCAUCGGUGUCAACUUCAUCGACAUCUACUUCCGCAAGGGCGUCUACCCCGCUCCCCUCCCCUUCACCCCCGUUGCCACUCAAACCAACACUGUCCCACUUACCAUUUUACUAGUUGACACACCAUGGUUUGAUCGAUCGUCAGUUGGUGUGAACAUUGGUGCUGCUGCCGCCGCUGUGCCAGUUGGAGGUGCUGCUGCUGCAUGUGGUGGAGCUGUAGCUGCAACCCCAAAGGGCAAACCUUCAUCAGGCACAACCCCAUAA
RNAcentral lists this ribosomal RNA (771 nucleotides) under Triticum aestivum (bread wheat). Its description in RNAcentral is "partial small subunit ribosomal RNA". Lineage: Eukaryota; Viridiplantae; Streptophyta; Magnoliopsida; Poales; Poaceae. The record is from RNAcentral.